Molecule: ribosomal RNA, 499 nt
Filed under: uncultured bacterium
Lineage: Bacteria
Description: bacterial SSU rRNA
Rfam family: Bacterial small subunit ribosomal RNA
Source: RNAcentral
AGGACGAACGCUGGCGGCGUGCUUAACACAUGCAAGUCGAACGGGGAUUACCGAGCGGAAGGCUUCGGCUGGAAGGUUGGUAAUUCGAGUGGCGGACGGGUGAGUAACGCGUGAACAAUCUGUCCCAGACAGGGGGAUAACACUUGGAAACAGGUGCUAAUACCGCGUAAGACCACGGAGUCGCAUGGCUUUGGGGUAAAAGGAGGAAUCCGGUUUGGGGUGAGUUCGCGUCCGAUUAGAUAGUUGGUGAGGUAACGGCCCACCAAGUCGACGAUCGGUAGCCGAUCUGAGAGGAUGACCGGCCACAUUGGAACUGAGAGACGGUCCAAACUCCUACGGGAGGCAGCAGUGGGGAAUAUUGGGCAAUGGGCGAAAGCCCUGACCCAGCAACGCCGCGUGAGUGAAGAAGGCUUUCGGGUUGUAAAGCUCUGUUAUAGGGGACGAAGGAAGUGACGGUACCCUAUAAGGAAGCCCCGGCUAACUACGUGCCAGCCGCAGC